UGCGGGUUCAGGAGGUACCCAAACUGAAGGUA
Molecule: non-coding RNA, 32 nt
Filed under: Homo sapiens (human)
Lineage: Eukaryota; Metazoa; Chordata; Mammalia; Primates; Hominidae
Source: RNAcentral